Molecule: ribosomal RNA, 227 nt
Filed under: uncultured bacterium
Lineage: Bacteria
Description: partial 16S ribosomal RNA
Rfam family: Bacterial small subunit ribosomal RNA
Source: RNAcentral
UGGGGAAUAUUGCACAAUGGGGGAACCCUGAUGCAGCGACGCCGCGUGGAGGAAGAAGGUCUUCGGAUUGUAAACUCCUGUUGUUGGGGACGAUAAUGACGGUACCCACAAGAAGUGACGGCUAACUACGUGCCAGCAGCCGCGGUAAAACGUAGGUCACAAGCGUUGUCCGGAAUUACUGGGUGUAAAGGGAGCGCAGGCGGGAAGCAAGUUGGAGUGAAAUCUAG